ACCGCAGAAAAACAUCUGUCCGGUUUAAUGAGAAGAACAGAGCUUGAGCUGCUGUAUCUACUAGAAAGCACCGUCUCAGUAUUAGUCAUGUGUUUCCUAAGUUAACUGUAAUAACCCUGACACCCACAUUAAAGGACCUGAGCCACAUCUAGAGACCAGAAGAUCACAGAGAUGUGAGGUUUAAGGACAAAGACAGCGUUCAACAUAACGUGGCAUAUGUUCAGCAGGUCUUUGUGAGGGUUUCAGGCCUCCGUUGACGGAUUGAGAGGAAGAUGGAGUGGAAGGAAAUGCUGUGCUUACGGAUCACAAUGUGUUCAGAAAUCAAGCAAGGCUCGUGUAAAAUCUCUCAGGAACCAAUCAAUGACCCAGCGAGGGGCCAGACACCAGAUGAUUGUUUGUGGCAUUGA
This is a long non-coding RNA of Cyprinus carpio (common carp), 407 nucleotides long. The record is from Ensembl. NCBI's taxonomy places the organism in Eukaryota, Metazoa, Chordata, Actinopteri, Cypriniformes, Cyprinidae.